GUAAGAGGGAAAAUCCGUUGAUUUUAAAAAUCGUGAGGGUUCAAGUCCCUCUAUCCCCAAAAAAAGCCCC
Molecule: transfer RNA, 70 nt
Filed under: Bupleurum angustissimum
Lineage: Eukaryota; Viridiplantae; Streptophyta; Magnoliopsida; Apiales; Apiaceae
Description: partial tRNA-Leu
Source: RNAcentral